This 56-nucleotide transfer RNA is filed under the name Phascolostrongylus turleyi. RNAcentral describes it as "tRNA-Ala". The record is from RNAcentral. Lineage: Eukaryota; Metazoa; Nematoda; Chromadorea; Rhabditida; Strongylidae.
GGGACUUUAGUUUAAGUAUAAAAUAUGUGAUUUGCAUUCGCAAAAUUUAAGUUCUA